GCCAGGCACAGUGGCACGUGCCUAUAGUCCCAGCUAUUCGGGAGGCUGAGGCUGGAGGAUCUCUUGAGGCCAGGAGUUCUGGGCUGUAGUGCACUAUGCCAAAGAGUGUCCGCACUAAGUUUGGCAUCAAUAUGGUGACCUCCCGGGAGCAGGGGAUCACCAGAUUGCUUAAGGAGGGGUGAACCGGCCCAGGUCAGAAACGGAGCAGGUCAAAACUCCCGUACUGAUCAGUAGUGGGAUCGUGCCUGUGAACAGCCACUGCAAUCCAGCCUGGGCGACAUAGCGAGACCCCCAUCUCU
Molecule: unclassified non-coding RNA, 299 nt
Organism: Callithrix jacchus (white-tufted-ear marmoset)
Lineage: Eukaryota; Metazoa; Chordata; Mammalia; Primates; Cebidae
Rfam family: Metazoan signal recognition particle RNA
About the family: The signal recognition particle (SRP) is a universally conserved ribonucleoprotein. It is involved in the co-translational targeting of proteins to membranes.
Source: Ensembl